This 478-nucleotide ribosomal RNA is filed under the name uncultured Phenylobacterium sp. RNAcentral's name for it is "bacterial SSU rRNA". It matches the Rfam family "Bacterial small subunit ribosomal RNA", at positions 1 to 524 of the family's 1533-position model. The record is from RNAcentral. Lineage: Bacteria; Pseudomonadati; Pseudomonadota; Alphaproteobacteria; Caulobacterales; Caulobacteraceae.
CGUGUCUCUAAGAGUUUGAUCCUGGCUCAGAGCGAACGCUGGCGGCAGGCCUAAUACAUGCAAGUCGAGCGCCCUUUCGGGGGAGCGGCGGACGGGUGAGUAACGCGUGGGAACGUGCCCUUUGGUACGGAACAACUGAGGGAAACUUCAGCUAAUACCGUAUGUGCCCUUCGGGGGAAAGAUUUAUUGCCAUUGGAGCGGCCCGCGUUGGAUUAGGUAGUUGGUGAGGUAAAGGCUCGCCAAGCCUACGAUCCAUAGCUGGUCUGAGAGGAUGAUCAGCCACACUGGGACUGAGACACGGCCCAGACUCCUACGGGAGGCAGCAGUAGGGAAUCUUGCGCAAUGGGCGAAAGCCUGACGCAGCCAUGCCGCGUGAAUGAUGAAGGUCUUAGGAUUGUAAAAUUCUUUCACCGGGGACGAUAAUGACGGUACCCGGAGAAGAAGCCCCGGCUAACUUCGUGCCAGCAGCCGCGGUAAU